RNAcentral lists this transfer RNA (73 nucleotides) under Lachnospiraceae bacterium. RNAcentral's name for it is "tRNA-Thr". It matches the Rfam family "tRNA". From Rfam's summary of the family: Transfer RNA (tRNA) molecules are approximately 80 nucleotides in length. Their secondary structure includes four short double-helical elements and three loops (D, anti-codon, and T loops). The record is from RNAcentral. Lineage: Bacteria; Bacillati; Bacillota; Clostridia; Lachnospirales; Lachnospiraceae.
GCUUCCCUAGCUCAGUUGGUAGAGCAACUCAUUCGUAAUGAGUAGGUCGUGGGUUCGAGUCCCAUGGGGAGCU